Molecule: ribosomal RNA, 605 nt
Filed under: Trichoderma reesei
Lineage: Eukaryota; Fungi; Ascomycota; Sordariomycetes; Hypocreales; Hypocreaceae
Description: eukaryotic LSU rRNA
Rfam family: 5.8S ribosomal RNA (bases 222-375)
Source: RNAcentral
GGCUCGACGGUCGCUCCGAUACGCCAUGUGAACGUUACCAAUCUGUUGCCUCGGCGGGAUUCUCUGCCCCGGGCGCGUCGCAGCCCCGGAUCCCAUGGCGCCCGCCGGAGGACCAACUCAAACUCUUUUUUCUCUCCGUCGCGGCUUCCGUCGCGGCUCUGUUUUACCUUUGCUCUGAGCCUUUCUCGGCGACCCUAGCGGGCGUCUCGAAAAUGAAUCAAAACUUUCAACAACGGAUCUCUUGGUUCUGGCAUCGAUGAAGAACGCAGCGAAAUGCGAUAAGUAAUGUGAAUUGCAGAAUUCAGUGAAUCAUCGAAUCUUUGAACGCACAUUGCGCCCGCCAGUAUUCUGGCGGGCAUGCCUGUCCGAGCGUCAUUUCAACCCUCGAACCCCUCCGGGGGGUCGGCGUUGGGGAUCGGCCCCUCACCGGGCCGCCCCCGAAAUACAGUGGCGGUCUCGCCGCAGCCUCUCCUGCGCAGUAGUUUGCACACUCGCACCGGGAGCGCGGCGCGGCCACAGCCGUAAAACACCCCAAACUCUGAAAUGUUGACCUCGGAUCAGGUAGGAAUGAGCAAUGAACUUAAGCAUAUCAUUAAGCGGAGGAA